UAUAAUAUAUUAAAAGAAUAAAAUAAUUGCGAGAGCCUUCGGGCUCUCAUUAAGCCCUAGUGGACUUGCCCUCCUAGUCACUAGGGUGUUUUU
Molecule: regulatory RNA element, 93 nt
Organism: Geobacter sp. OR-1
Lineage: Bacteria; Pseudomonadati; Thermodesulfobacteriota; Desulfuromonadia; Geobacterales; Geobacteraceae
Rfam family: atoC RNA
Source: Rfam